Molecule: unclassified non-coding RNA, 232 nt
Filed under: Hevea brasiliensis (rubber tree)
Lineage: Eukaryota; Viridiplantae; Streptophyta; Magnoliopsida; Malpighiales; Euphorbiaceae
Source: RNAcentral
AGCACUUUCUUUCUCCUUGUGGGAGUUUGGAGGAAAUCGAAGAGCACGGACAGCCUCAUUAUGCAUGUUAAGACAGAAAGCAAUUCUCGAGUUGAAAGCAAUUUGAGGCUCAUUUGUGGAGUAAAUAUCUCCAGUUUCCUUUGAUACCAUCCAUCCGUUAGCAUGAUCCAACGUGGCAUCAAUUGCACCAUCUCGAAUCGCUUUAGACACAAUACUCUCAGCAUCAGCAACA